This 432-nucleotide ribosomal RNA is filed under the name uncultured bacterium. Its description in RNAcentral is "bacterial SSU rRNA". It matches the Rfam family "Bacterial small subunit ribosomal RNA", at positions 27 to 507 of the family's 1533-position model. The record is from RNAcentral.
GAACGAACGCUGGCGGCAGGCUUAACACAUGCAAGUCGAACGCCCCGCAAGGGGAGUGGCAGACGGGUGAGUAACACGUGGGAACGUGCCCUUCGCUUCGGGACAACCGCGGGAAACUGCGGCUGAUACCGGAUGAUACCUGAGGGUCAAAGAUUUAUCGCCUUUGGAGGGGCCCGCGUCGGAUUAGGUAGUUGGUGGGGUAACGGCCUACCAAGCCUAUGAUCCGUAACUGGUCUGAGAGGAUGACCAGUCACACUGGGACUGAGACACGGCCCAGACUCCUACGGGAGGCAGCAGUGGGGAGUAUUGGACAAUGGGGGCAACCCUGAUCCAGCAAUGCCGCGUGGGUGAUGAAGGCCUUCGGGUUGUAAAGCCCCUUCGGCGGGGACGAUGAUGACGGUACCCGCAGAAGAAGCCCCGGCUAACUUCGUG